This 301-nucleotide ribosomal RNA is filed under the name uncultured bacterium. RNAcentral's name for it is "partial 16S ribosomal RNA". It matches the Rfam family "Bacterial small subunit ribosomal RNA", at positions 509 to 809 of the family's 1533-position model. The record is from RNAcentral.
CAGCAGCCGCGGUAAUACGUAGGUGGCAAGCGUUGUCCGGAAUUAUUGGGCGUAAAGGGCUCGCAGGCGGUUUCUUAAGUCUGAUGUGAAAGCCCCCGGCUCAACCGGGGAGGGUCAUUGGAAACUGGGGAACUUGAGUGCAGAAGAGGAGAGUGGAAUUCCACGUGUAGCGGUGAAAUGCGUAGAGAUGUGGAGGAACACCAGUGGCGAAGGCGACUCUCUGGUCUGUAACUGACGCUGAGGAGCGAAAGCGUGGGGAGCGAACAGGAUUAGAUACCCCAGUAGUCCCUGUCUCUUAUAU